AACCCCGGCACGCUCUCGUCCCCACCGCCCCAGGCCCCUUUCUCAUAGGCCUGGUGCUCUCCUUUCUCCGGCCCCUCCGCACCUAUGCCGCUCUCUCAUUGGCCCGGCGCCCUCCUGCCGGCACGCCCCCUCACGCUCUGGCCUGGCCCUCGCGCGGGGUUUGAAGACGGACCCCGCCUGCUGCUGCGGGCCCACGGGUUUCCGCCGGUGGCGCGGGUUUCUUUCUGAAAGUAAAAGGACGGAGACGUGAAGGCCUCACGAGGCCCAAGGAGCAGAGAGAAGGGAGUCAAAGGCGGGCCCCGUCAGACCUCCGGGAGGAAAGGGAGCAGGCCGCGACCCGCGCUGACCCUGAUGCAAACAACAUAUCGUUUUCGCAGGAGAAUAUAUCAACACAAUUGAGCACGAAAUUCACCAAAUUUCAAGAGCUUCAUGAUAUCCACGUUAAGAACUAGCCUGCUCCCCAACAUUUUUGCCCAUUCAGAGUUGUUUCAGAGGUGGCAGAAUUUGAUCUGGGCCUUGAAGAGGAAGAAUUUGGGAAAAGCAAGUGAGGCAUUCCAGGUGAGAGGAAUCUACGCCAGAGGGUGCUUGUAAUUGGCCAGGGACAGGAAGUGGUCCUUAUGCAUUUGGUGGUAAGAAAUGAAAUGAUUAAGUGAUUCUAGAGACUGUAAAGCAGUUUAGAAUCUGGUCCAGAUUCUGGAGAGAGUUUGGACUUCUUGAGGUGAAUCAAAGUGUGAACUGAGUGAUGCUCUGAACCAUUAAUGAGUGGCCCUAUGGAAAGUUCUGAAUCUGGUUUUAAAGGUGAUUAGUCUGGCAGAGUUAGGCUGUUUGGAUGGAUGAUCCACUGGGGGUGGUAGAAAGGGGAAGCUGGAGAAGAAUAAUAUGUCACUGUAAGUUUUGUUAUCCCUUACCAGAAAUUUUUGGGAAAUUUGAUUUUUUUUUUUUAAUGUUUAUGUUUGAGACAGAAAGACAGAGUGUGAGCGGGCUUGGGUAGAGAG
Molecule: long non-coding RNA, 995 nt
Organism: Herpailurus yagouaroundi (jaguarundi)
Lineage: Eukaryota; Metazoa; Chordata; Mammalia; Carnivora; Felidae
Exons: 3
Source: RefSeq, a predicted model, not a curated record